Molecule: ribosomal RNA, 579 nt
Filed under: Triticum aestivum (bread wheat)
Lineage: Eukaryota; Viridiplantae; Streptophyta; Magnoliopsida; Poales; Poaceae
Description: partial small subunit ribosomal RNA
Source: RNAcentral
AUGUUGUUUGCUCCUUUUCCAGUGUUGCUUCUUCGGGUUGGUUCCGAUAACGUCGCGUUUGUGAGGAUUCGUUCGACUACGCCCGUUUGUCUUCUUCAUGGACUCGUUCUUCUUCCUUGUGGGAUCUCAGGCAAGAUGACCAUACCCUCGAAAUCACUUCUAUCUUUGCUUGCUAGUUGCUCUCUCUAUUGCUAUGCCUAUGCUGCGAUAGCUACCACUUGCUUUAUCAUGCCUCCCAUAUUGCUAAGCCAAGCCUCUAACCCACCUUGUUGUAGCAAACCAUUGUUUGGCUAUGUUACCUCUUUGCUCAGCCCCUCUUAUAGCGUUGCUAGUUGCAGGCGAAGAUUGGAGUUUGUUCCUUGUUGGAACUUGGAUAUUUUGUUGGGAUAUGACAAUAUCUCUUAUUUAAUUAAUGCAUCUAUAUACUUGGUAGAGGGUGGAAGGCUCGGCCUUAUGCCUGGUGUUUUGUUCCACUCUUGCCGCCCUAGUUUCCGUCAUACCGGUGUUACGUUCCUUGAUUUUGCGUCCCUUAUGCGGUUGGGUUAUAAUGGGAACCCCUUGAUAGUUCGCCUUGAAUAA